This 497-nucleotide ribosomal RNA is filed under the name uncultured bacterium. RNAcentral describes it as "partial 16S ribosomal RNA". It matches the Rfam family "Bacterial small subunit ribosomal RNA", at positions 28 to 507 of the family's 1533-position model. The record is from RNAcentral.
GACGAACGCUGGCGGCGUGCCUAAUACAUGCAAGUUGAGCGCUGAAGGUUGGUACUUGUACCGACUGGAUGAGCAGCGAACGGGUGAGUAACGCGUGGGGAAUCUGCCUUUGAGCGGGGGACAACAUUUGGAAACGAAUGCUAAUACCGCAUAAAAACUUUAAACACAAGUUUUAAGUUUGAAAGAUGCAAUUGCAUCACUCAAAGAUGAUCCCGCGUUGUAUUAGCUAGUUGGUGAGGUAAAGGCUCACCAAGGCGAUGAUACAUAGCCGACCUGAGAGGGUGAUCGGCCACACUGGGACUGAGACACGGCCCAAACUCCUACGGGAGGCAGCAGUAGGGAAUCUUCGGCAAUGGACGAAAGUCUGACCGAGCAACGCCGCGUGAGUGAAGAAGGUUUUCGGAUCGUAAAACUCUGUUGGUAGAGAAGAACGUUGGUGAGAGUGGAAAGCUCAUCAAGUGACGGUAACUACCCAGAAAGGGACGGCUAACUACGUG